AUGGAGUUUAUGACUGUCUGGAGUUUAGUUCUCAUGGUGAUGUCCAUACACAGUGUUUGCUGUGAUGAGAUGGAUCAGUCUACUUCUCAGGUGAAAAGACCUGAAGACACGUUUAAAUUGUCAUGCAAAAUCUCUGGGUUUGAUAUGACAAGCUACUACAUGAGCUGGAUAAGGCAGAAACCAGGCAAAGCUCUGGAGUGGAUUGGGAGCAUUGACUCUGGUUCAACAGAUGCUCCAGACUACUCAGACUCCCUGCAAGGCCAGUUCAUCCUGACUGAGGACGUCUCCACAAGCACCCAGUUCUUAGAGGCCAAUAGUCUGAGAUCAGAGGACUCUGCUGUUUAUUAUUGUGCUCGAGAGACACAGUGA
Non-coding RNA from Salvelinus fontinalis (brook trout), 369 nucleotides. The record is from the annotation of a RefSeq genome assembly. Lineage: Eukaryota; Metazoa; Chordata; Actinopteri; Salmoniformes; Salmonidae.